GGAGAGAUGGCUGAGUGGUUUAAGGCGCACGCUUGGAAAGUGUGUGUAUUUUUAAAGGUACCCAGGGUUCGAAUCCCUGUCUCUCCGCCA
Molecule: transfer RNA, 90 nt
Filed under: Candidatus Pelagibacter communis
Lineage: Bacteria; Pseudomonadati; Pseudomonadota; Alphaproteobacteria; Candidatus Pelagibacterales; Candidatus Pelagibacteraceae
Description: tRNA-Ser
Rfam family: tRNA
About the family: Transfer RNA (tRNA) molecules are approximately 80 nucleotides in length. Their secondary structure includes four short double-helical elements and three loops (D, anti-codon, and T loops).
Source: RNAcentral